RNAcentral lists this long non-coding RNA (365 nucleotides) under Lupinus angustifolius (narrow-leaved blue lupine). RNAcentral's name for it is "long non-coding RNA (LANG_LNC003368)". Lineage: Eukaryota; Viridiplantae; Streptophyta; Magnoliopsida; Fabales; Fabaceae. The record is from RNAcentral.
GCGUGGGACCAGGUCAACUAAGUUGCUGAAGCAGGUAACUAAGCGUGGGACCAGGUCAGCCAAGCUACUCAUGCAGGCAGCUAAGUGUGGGACCAGGUGAGCUAAGUACCUGGCCCAACAGAAAAUGGUUGCUUCGCCUAGAAGAAUGGCUAUGUCAUGAUGAUGUCACAAGCCAAACAACCAGCCAAAGCUAACUUCUGGACCAAGUUUAUGACCUCAUGCAUGAGACAAGCAAGUAGGAGAUGUAACCAUGCAUGUAUCCCAGCCCACAAUAGGUUGUCUAAGUUAGUUGGCCAAUAUGGGACAAGUAGAUGACUCACCAGCUUGGGGUGUGCUAGACAAGGAGCUAAGCGGCCAGAAAAGGG